This 492-nucleotide ribosomal RNA is filed under the name uncultured bacterium. RNAcentral's name for it is "partial 16S ribosomal RNA". It matches the Rfam family "Bacterial small subunit ribosomal RNA", at positions 29 to 507 of the family's 1533-position model. The record is from RNAcentral.
AUUGAACGCUGGCGGCAUGCUUUACACAUGCAAGUCGAGCGGUAACAGGCCUUCGGGUGCUGACGAGUGGCGAACGGGUGAGUAAUGCAUCGGAACGUACCCAGAGGUGGGGGAUAACGCAGCGAAAGCUGUGCUAAUACCGCAGGUGAUCUGAGGAUGAAAGCGGGGGACCGAGCAGCAAUGUUUGGCCUCGUGCCUUUGGAGCGGCCGAUGUCGGAUUAGCUAGUUGGUGGGGUAAAGGCCUACCAAGGCGACGAUCCGUAGCUGGUCUGAGAGGACGACCAGCCACACUGGGACUGAGACACGGCCCAGACUCCUACGGGAGGCAGCAGUGGGGAAUUUUGGACAAUGGGCGCAAGCCUGAUCCAGCAAUGCCGCGUGCGGGAAGAAGGCCUUCGGGUUGUAAACCGCUUUUGGCAGGAACGAAACGGUGUCCGCUAAUACCGGGCGCUAAUGACGGUACCUGCAGAAUAAGCACCGGCUAACUACGUG